RNA transcript from Mandrillus leucophaeus (drill), 1302 nucleotides. It is a transcript of the gene named cation channel sperm-associated protein 2 pseudogene, with no coding region annotated. The transcript has a single exon. Lineage: Eukaryota; Metazoa; Chordata; Mammalia; Primates; Cercopithecidae. The record is from RefSeq and is a predicted model, not a curated record.
CCAUUGACUGGUAUUUAUAUCUGAAGAUUCAGAUUGCAUUAAUAGAAAGUAGUAUAGCCCAGAAAAUUUGAGGAAAUAUAUUAUUUGUUAGUCUGUAACAGGAGAUUUUUAAAAUAAUUUUAUUAAUUUUGUAAUAUCUUGGCUGCAUGAUACCAAGCAGGCUAGCUUACACAUGGAUGCACAAAUGCCAAGUUUAUCUUCUGGCUUAAAAAUACAUAUUUUUUAAAAAUAGAUUUUCUAAAACACAUAAUAGAUUUAUCACAGCAACUGAAUCUGGUUAAUAUGAAAUAAGUUCUAAGUCACAUGCAAAUCAAGGUAUUUCAUCAUGAAAUUAUUUUGCAUGUUUUUAAAACAUAAAACAUAAUUUUGCCUACUUUGGAGGUAUACUUCCUUUUCUAUUAUGAAUCUGAUUUUUUGGCAUGACCUUUUUUUUUUUUAGAGGAGGACACAAUUUUUUUUUCUGGUGUGUGAUAGAUUUCUCCAGUUAAAAAAAAGAAAAGAAAAAAAAAAAACUUAAAAUCUACACAUGGUCGGCUGGGCGGAGGGAGGCGGCUCACCUGAGCGUGGCUGGGCCCAAUCCUGGGCUAGGGCUGGGGCUGGGAAUGGGGUGCAGUGAGGCUGGGGGCCGGCCCUGAGCUCAUCCUGCGUGUGGGAAGCGAGGCUCAGGGGGCGCCAGAGCUGGAGGCGGAAGCGUGAAGUUAGCACUGAGUGGGCGAAGAGAACCUGGGCUGAGCAGACAUGGCCAGUUAUCACCAAGAAGGGCAGAUGCAGCUGCCCCUAGCUGACGCCAUUCGUUCAUGUCUCAUCGAUACUUUCUCAUCUAGCAUUUGCAAGGUUUGAGUCAAGCUGUGCCGUGGCACACUAUCAGGGAGUUACUUGAUCCUUCCCGCCAGAAGCAACUUAUGUUGGGAGAUCAACACCAGCUAGUGUGCUUCUCUGUAAAGGCUCAACGUAUACGACAGAUUUCACAUGCGCAGAGGCUGUUGAGCAGGCUUCAUGUGCGCUGCAGUCAGAGGUCACCUCUUUCUUUGUGGAUCGGAUGGGUCCUUGGGUGUCCUCUCUUCACAAACUUCGUCAUCUUCCUCAUCUUUUUGAAUACGAUCGUAUUGAUAGUUGAAAUAGAAUUGCUGGAAUCCACAAAUACCUAACUGUGGCCAUUGAAGCUGACCUUGGAGGUGGUAACUCGGUUAUCUUGUUUAUUUUCAUCCUGGUGAUCCUUCUUAUGUGGCUAUCCAGCUUUUCCCUUUUCUGGAAGAGUGGAAUGUCUUUAACUUUGUUGUUACCAUGUUGUGCAGGCACUGA